RNAcentral lists this long non-coding RNA (954 nucleotides) under Marmota monax (woodchuck). The record is from RNAcentral. Lineage: Eukaryota; Metazoa; Chordata; Mammalia; Rodentia; Sciuridae.
UUGAGACUUUAUUUUUUAGAUCAGUUUAGGUUUAUGCAAAACUGCAUGGAAGGUACAAAAUGUCCCCUGUAGUCCUUCCAUGCAUGCACAGUCCCCCAUCAUCAGCACCCCAACAGAGUGAUGUGCUAGUUACAGUCCGUCACUGUACACAUCACCCCAAAUCCACAGUUGACGUUGGAAGUCAUUCUUGAUGUAUAUUCUGUGGUUUAGAGAAAUGUACGAUGGUGUGCAUCCACAAUUACCAUAUCAGCAUUAUUUUGAGUACCUCCAAAGUGUUCUCUGUUCACACCUCUCCCAGUCCUUGGCAGCCACUGAUUUUUUGUUGUUGUUGUUUGUUUGUUUGUUUGUUUUGUCCUAGAGAUUGAACCAGGGGUGUUCUUGUUAAAACAGAUUUUUUUUUUGGCUUCAACCUGGGUUUGACUGCAGGUCUGGGAUGAGGCCCCUGAGUUUUCUACCAGACCACCUCCCCACCUUUUUUUAAGAGACAGUGUCUCCCUAAGUUGCUGAGGCUGUCCUUGAACUGAGGAUCCUCCUGCCUCAGCCUCCCCAGCUGCUAGGACUACAGGGGUGGGCCACCAAGCCCAUCCCACUGAUAUUUUUACUGUCUCCAUACCUGUCUUUCACAAUGCCACAGAGUGAUAGUAUGUGGUCCUUUUCAGAUUGGCUUCUUAGUAACAUGCAUUUAAGUUUCUCUUUUUUCCCCCCUUCAGUAUUAGGGAUUUAGCCUAGUAGAGCUUUACCACUGAGCUGUUCUCCCACUCCUCCUGUUUCCUCCACAUUGUCUCAGGGUCUUUUGUUUUUUUAAAGCACUGAAUAAUAUUACAUUGUCAGUGGUACUUGGUUUAUCCACUCACCUAUGGAUGGACAUCUUAUUUUCUUGCAAACUUAUUAUUAAUCUGCUAUAAACAUCUAUGUGCAGGUUUCAAAAGUCAACCGAUUGGCUUUUCCCCCUUA